This 262-nucleotide ribosomal RNA is filed under the name uncultured bacterium. RNAcentral's name for it is "partial 16S ribosomal RNA". It matches the Rfam family "Bacterial small subunit ribosomal RNA", at positions 793 to 1055 of the family's 1533-position model. The record is from RNAcentral.
GUCCACGCCUUAAACUAUGGAUACUAAGUGUCGGCGGUUUACCGCCGGUGCCGCAGCUAACGCAAUAAGUAUCCCGCCUGGGAAGUACGGCCGCAAGGUUGAAACUCAAAGGAAUUGACGGGGCCCGCACAAGCGGUGGAGCAUGUGGUUUAAUUCGACGCAACGCGAAGAACCUUACCCAGGCUGGACAUGCAGGUAGUAGAAGGGUGAAAGCCCAACGAGGUAGAAAUACCAUCCUGCUCAGGUGCUGCAUGGCUGUCGU